GAGAAUUCCAAGCAGGCUCCAUGCUGUCAGCACAGGGCCCGAUGUGGGGCUCGAUCCCACAACCCUGGGACCAAGACCUGAGCUGAGAUCAAGAGUUGGGUGCUCAACCAAUCGAGCCACCCAGGUGCCCCCAGGCCCAGAUUAGAUGUUGAUUUGAUGGGAAAAUAUCUUCCAAGUGCAACUAUUCAACAUGGGCAGGAGAAGGUGGCCAAGGUUUGUUUACACAGUGAAGCUUCUGGUUGCCUUAGAAAUUAUGGAUUUCAUAUCCCUCACUAAGGGAUCAUCUAUACAUCAAAUGCCAGAGGAAUAUGCUAGAAAAACUAUUUUCUGGGCCAGAAGGCAAAGAGAAAAUAAAGAAAGGAAGGCCCUCAAUUUUAGCCCUGUGUGUGUUAAUAAAGGAGAGGAUUCAAUUUAAGACGUAGGUUAAACUUUUAGAGAUUCUACAGCCUCUGUGGCAGCAGCAGGGUAAUGGCAGAGGGGAAUGAAGCAGUAUAGGCAUAUACUAGUGCAUCAGUUAAAGAUGUCCCAGAUGCAAAUGCUGUUCAAGACCUGGAAUAUACCAAAGUUGAGGAAACAGCGAAUCAAGGAACCCAUUGGGGGAAGAAUUGAUUCCUACAGACCACGAGAAACAUAAGCUCUGAAGCAUCAACAAUAAUCUGGUUCAGGAAUCUAAGAGUAACUCUUCAGCUGAAUCAAAUAUGACAACUAAGCAAAAGUCUCCUUCCUAGAGAGAUUUUAUAAUCCUAAGCAAUUUAAUAUCAAGAAGCUAUAGAAGCGCUUCCUGUGGUGUAGGACAAAAAAGUCCUGCUCAUGAGUUGUUGAUGAGGCCUACACUUAGUUCGGCAUAGGGAUGCCAGAAACAUGAGCUAAGGGAAAACAGGAAAUCAGAGAUUAUGAACAUGUAGAAAGGCAGGGGCAUGUCAAACAAAGUCUGGUGAUUCGGGCUGCCAUCAACGCAAAUUUCUAACUUUGCAAGAUUGUAACGUCCCAAAUGCUACUAUCUUAAAAAGAAGACUAUCAGCAGAGCCUCAGCACCCCUCCUAUAUGACACUACAUAGCGUCAAAAUGAACUCCCAGAUGGGAGUUUGAACCUGAUUCCGUGUAAAUUCAGAUACCAGAUACUUCAGAUAACUAGCCUGGACUCACUGGCAUCAUGAAGAGGUUAAACUAAGAUAUUUUCUUGAUGUCACUUCCUUUUGUCCACUACUAUUGAAUCUCUGCCAGGAUCUAAAAAAAAAAUUUUUUUUAAUGUUUAUUUAUUUGUGAGAGAGAGAGAGGGAGAGAGACAGAGCACGAGAGGGGCAGGGGCAGAGAGAGAUACACACACAGAAUCCAAAGCAGGCUCCAGGCUCUGAGCUGUCAGCACAGAGCCCAACACCGGGCUCCAACUCAUGAACUGUGAGAUCAUGACCUGAGCUGAAGUUGCACGCUUAACUGAUGAGCCAUCCAGGCAUCCCUCUGUUAGGGUCUUUAGUGACACUAACUCAGGGCUCUGGAAACAUCAUCCUACUUGUGAUAACGCGAUUGAGUUGUUUUUCUAGAUUUGGUGGUUUCGGGGGUUGCUGUGAUAGUCUUUUGUGUUGUUAAGUCUUGGAGCCUUUAAAUACAGGACAUCCUGGAGACGCAGUCAGUAUGCACCCUAGAGGAUCUAUAUCCAUUCCACAGAACAUAGCCCAGCUUGUAGCUGCCAAAGACACCCCAGCUCUACUUGGCAGCAAAGACCCUUCUAGCUGAGAGUAGACAGAAAUAAGAAAUCAGAGAGGAUGAAGUCUGGACUUCAAUUUCUUUGGAUCUUUGACUUACAAGUGCAAGAGAACGUGAUUUUGCAUUUUAAUUCUUUUGACCUCUGAAAUCUUUGGACUAAUUUGCAUGGAAUUUAAUUUUUAACUUCAAUUUCCUCCCAGGAAAAUCCAUUAAAAAAGGCAGUUAAGAUUAAAUUUAGGACUUUGUAUGUUGAUGACAUUUUUAUGAAAUGUGUUAUAUUGUUAUUUUAUUUCUUUGCCAAACCUUUGAUAAACUACAUUGGACAAUGUGGCUGGAAUAAUUUGGGAAGGGAAAUAGAAUAUAGAAAGAAUUUUUAGCCUUGGAUGCAGGUUUUAGAAUUAAUUUAAUUAAUGUGUUAUUCUGACCCAUUUUAGAGCCUUCUGGAGUUAAAAAUAAAACACUGCCCACCAGCAUCCCGGAAGAGUUGCAGCUGGUGUUGGGGGAAUAGUCUUUUGAAAGUGGGGGACGAGGACUGCCCAGGUAGAUUGUUAACUUUGUCUCCAGAGGGCAGCCACACCACUGGUUAAUGGUUAAACUAAAUGGAGUAAGAGAAGAAAAAUGUGGAGAACGUUGGAGGAGGGGAAUCUUUUUUCCCAUGACUUUCUGGUCUUUCCUCAUCAUCACUCACUCCUCCCAGAACUUGUCAGACUUACUGCCACUGCCUGCAUGAUCAGUGCUGGCCAAGCCAGCAGGCUCCUCCACCGUCUCCCUCCUCCUGGCUCCUGGAGAUCUGCCUGCCUGCUGCACACAUGUGUUCCACCCUGUUUUUGCAUUUUAAACAAUGAAGCAAUGAACAUUGACCUGUAUAGCUGCUUCUUUGGACACAUGUGCAAAUGUUUUUUCUGAUAAAUUCUUAGAGGACGACUUGCUGAGUUAAAGAUACAUGCAGGUGCGAGGGACAUUCCUGGGGAAGAGCCUUUCUUGGCCAUUUACCACAGUGUUUCCUUACUUAAACACCAAAUGGACUUACUAAACUGUACUAGGGCAGAUGGCACAGCAAGACUUAGUCUGUUCCAGUCCAAAGAGAUAAUUUAUGUAAAUUACGUGACCAUAGACAUUAUAUGAUAUCCUUUAACAUCCCUUUGACAUACCAUGGCAAUCUUCCUCCACCGCAUAGCAGUAUGGGAAGUGUCCUUCUAAGUCCUUUCCCAUACAUUUACUUCCUGUCUUAAGGAUCUUUGCAUGCCUGCUACUUUGUAAUACCUCUGCUAAUGAAUAGAGGAAGCUGCCUUCAGUACUCUAAAUGAGAAAAGAAAUGCUGUUACUGGAUUCCAUUCCUGUCUAUCAUCUUGUUCAAAAGGAGGGGAGUGAGUCAGAUCAAGAGAAUGAGUCACCAAGUCAUAGCCAAGGUGAUAAACCUCAAGACUUGCAUCUAUCUGCUCCAUGGUCAAAGAGGAAAACCUUACCAUCUGAGUGGUGAGAAACCAGAGUGUGUACUAUCUGAACAUGUAAUGUUAUUUUGAGAAAAAAAUAAAGUGACUUUCCUAAAAAAC
Molecule: long non-coding RNA, 3257 nt
Organism: Neofelis nebulosa (Clouded leopard)
Lineage: Eukaryota; Metazoa; Chordata; Mammalia; Carnivora; Felidae
Exons: 2
Source: RefSeq, a predicted model, not a curated record